Molecule: long non-coding RNA, 567 nt
Organism: Xenia sp. Carnegie-2017
Lineage: Eukaryota; Metazoa; Cnidaria; Anthozoa; Malacalcyonacea; Xeniidae
Exons: 2
Source: RefSeq, a predicted model, not a curated record
AACCACUGUUUGUGGAAGAUGACACCUUUGUAAUAACUCCAGACAAAUUGCUAGACAAUUUCAAUGUUCAUUUUAGUGAAAGGCAACAUGAAAAAAUCAAAGAAUCCACUACAUAUAAGCACUUUUGUGACUUCAUAGAAGAGCUUGGAUAUGCUGGUAUAAAAGAGCACAAUUUAGAAUUAAAGCAUCUUUUCCGUUUUAUGACUGGAUCAUACACAAUGCCCCCCCUAGGAUUUUGGAAACUAUGAAAGUGGAAUUUGUUCACGGUUGUCCUGAAAAUUGCAAGUGCUGCCUAACAGCAUCAACAUGCCAACUUUCAAUAAAUAUUCCAGUGCAUGCUAAUACAGGGGAAAUGAUGAGAGAGCUGAUGACAUCAGCUUUGCUUGAGGGAUAUGGAUUUGGAAAAAUAUGAGAACAAUGCCAGUCAGUCCUGUUUCAUCCAAAAGGAAAUGUUUUUAAAGAUUUUUUCACAUACUCUCUGAACUGUUUUGUUGCAAUUUGCAUCUGCAUAAUCUAUUCCAAUGAUGAAACUAAUAUACCAAGGUUUAAUUUUGAAAAUAAUUUGAA